Molecule: ribosomal RNA, 184 nt
Filed under: Salmonella enterica subsp. enterica serovar Infantis
Lineage: Bacteria; Pseudomonadati; Pseudomonadota; Gammaproteobacteria; Enterobacterales; Enterobacteriaceae
Also listed under: 1 other name
Description: partial 23S ribosomal RNA
Rfam family: Bacterial large subunit ribosomal RNA
Source: RNAcentral
AAGAGAUAAGUGCUGAAAGCAUCUAAGCACGAAACUUGCCCCGAGAUGAGUUCUCCCUGAGACUUAGAGUCUCCUGAAGGAACGUUGAAGACGACGACGUUGAUAGGCCGGGUGUGUAAGCGCAGCGAUGCGUUGAGCUAACCGGUACUAAUGAACCGUGAGGCUUAACCUUACAACGCCGAAG